This 253-nucleotide ribosomal RNA is filed under the name uncultured bacterium. RNAcentral's name for it is "partial 16S ribosomal RNA". It matches the Rfam family "Bacterial small subunit ribosomal RNA", at positions 524 to 776 of the family's 1533-position model. The record is from RNAcentral.
UACGUAGGCAGCGAGCGUUGUUCGGAGUUACUGGGCGUAAAGCGUGCGUAGGCGGUUUUCUAAGUUUGGUGUGAAAUCUCCCGGCUUAACUGGGAGGGUGCGCCGAAAACUGGAAGGCUUGAGUAUGGGAGAGGUAAGCGGAAUUCCUGGUGUAGCGGUGAAAUGCGUAGAUAUCAGGAGGAACACCUGCGGUGAAGACGGCUUACUGGACCAUAACUGACGCUGAGGCACGAAAGCUGGGGGAGCAAACAGG